RNAcentral lists this ribosomal RNA (479 nucleotides) under Fusarium sp. RNAcentral describes it as "eukaryotic LSU rRNA". The stretch from base 94 to 246 matches the Rfam family "5.8S ribosomal RNA". Lineage: Eukaryota; Fungi; Ascomycota; Sordariomycetes; Hypocreales; Nectriaceae. The record is from RNAcentral.
AUAGACGGCCGCGUGAACGCGCUAAAAGCGGACAGAGGACCCUUAACUCUGUUUCUAUAACGUCUCUUCUGAGUAAAACAAGCAAUAAAUUAAAACUUUCAACAUCGGAUCUCUUGGCUCUGGCCCGCUCAAGAACGCUCGCGAAAUGCGACUAGUAAUGUGAAUUGCACAAUUCCGUGAAUCAUCCAAUCUUUGAACGCACUUGCGCCCGCCUGUAUUCUGGCGGGCAUGCCUGUUCGAGCGUCAUUACACCCUCAGGCCCCCGGGCCUGGCGUUGGGGAUCGGCGGAGCCUCUCUGUGGGCACCGCCGUCCCCCCAAUACAGUGGCGGUCCCGCCGCAUCUUCCAUCGCGUACUAGCUACCCCCUCCCCCACUGGAGAGCGGCGCGGCCACGCCGUAAAACACCCAACUCUUCUGAAGUUGACCUCGUAUCAAGUAGGAAUACCCGCUGAACUUAGCAUAUCAUAAGCGGAGGAAUU